This 800-nucleotide ribosomal RNA is filed under the name uncultured bacterium. RNAcentral's name for it is "bacterial SSU rRNA". It matches the Rfam family "Bacterial small subunit ribosomal RNA", at positions 8 to 805 of the family's 1533-position model. The record is from RNAcentral.
AGAGUUUGAUCCUGGCUCAGAUUGAACGCUGGCGGCAUGCUUUACACAUGCAAGUCGAACGGUAACAGGCCGCAAGGUGCUGACGAGUGGCGAACGGGUGAGUAAUGCAUCGGAACGUGCCCAGUCGUGGGGGAUAACGCAGCGAAAGCUGCGCUAAUACCGCAUACGAUCUAUGGAUGAAAGCGGGGGACCGUAAGGCCUCGCGCGAUUGGAGCGGCCGAUGUCAGAUUAGGUAGUUGGUGGGGUAAAGGCUCACCAAGCCGACGAUCUGUAGCUGGUCUGAGAGGACGACCAGCCACACUGGGACUGAGACACGGCCCAGACUCCUACGGGAGGCAGCAGUGGGGAAUUUUGGACAAUGGGGGCAACCCUGAUCCAGCAAUGCCGCGUGCAGGAAGAAGGCCUUCGGGUUGUAAACUGCUUUUGUACGGAACGAAACGGCUCUGGUUAAUACCCGGAGCUAAUGACGGUACCGUAAGAAUAAGCACCGGCUAACUACGUGCCAGCAGCCGCGGUAAUACGUAGGGUGCGAGCGUUAAUCGGAAUUACUGGGCGUAAAGCGUGCGCAGGCGGUGCUGUAAGACAGGCGUGAAAUCCCCGGGCUUAACCUGGGAAUGGCGCUUGUGACUGCAGUGCUGGAGUGCGGCAGAGGGGGAUGGAAUUCCGCGUGUAGCAGUGAAAUGCGUAGAUAUGCGGAGGAACACCGAUGGCGAAGGCAAUCCCCUGGGCCUGCACUGACGCUCAUGCACGAAAGCGUGGGGAGCAAACAGGAUUAAAUACCCUGGUAGUCCACGCCCUAA